RNAcentral lists this ribosomal RNA (427 nucleotides) under uncultured beta proteobacterium. Its description in RNAcentral is "partial 16S ribosomal RNA". It matches the Rfam family "Bacterial small subunit ribosomal RNA", at positions 355 to 774 of the family's 1533-position model. The record is from RNAcentral. Lineage: Bacteria; Pseudomonadati; Pseudomonadota; Betaproteobacteria.
UGGGGAAUUUUGGACAAUGGGGGCAACCCUGAUCCAGCCAUGCCGCGUGCGGGAAGAAGGCCUUCGGGUUGUAAACCGCUUUUGUUCGGGAAGAAAAGGCUUAGGUUAAUACCCUGAGUACUUGACGGUACCGGAAGAAUAAGCACCGGCUAACUACGUGCCAGCAGCCGCGGUAAUACGUAGGGUGCGAGCGUUAAUCGGAAUUACUGGGCGUAAAGCGUGCGCAGGCGGUUAGUUAAGUCUGAUGUGAAAGCCCCGGGCUCAACCUGGGAAUGGCAUUGGAAACUGGCUAGCUAGAGUGUGGCAGAGGGGGGUGGAACUCCGCGUGUAGCAGUGAAAUGCGUAGAGAUGCGGAAGAACACCGAUGGCGAAGGCAGCCCCCUGGGCUAACACUGACGCUCAGGCACGAAAGCGUGGGGAGCAAACA